Molecule: non-coding RNA, 364 nt
Organism: Pelobates cultripes (western spadefoot toad)
Lineage: Eukaryota; Metazoa; Chordata; Amphibia; Anura; Pelobatidae
Source: the annotation of a GenBank genome assembly
GCAAGACUUCAGAGGUAUGCCUUAACUCUGGGGGCUUAUCAGUAUCAGAUACAAUAUCGUCCAAAUGCUCUGCAUUAUAAUGCAGAUGCAUUCUCUAGAAGAUAUUUUAGUGAGGCGAUAACACGAUAACAGCCGGAGAAAUUGCACAGGAGACAGCCAAGGACUCUUUGCUGAGGGAAAUACUUGUUUUUGUACGCAAGGGUUGGCCACUAAAGCCUCCAAUACAUAUAGACUUUGCGGGACCAGUGGAAAAUAAAAUGUAUCUGAUUGUGGUAGACGCACAUUCUAAAUGGCCAUAAGUUCUAUUCAUGUCGCAGACCACUGCAGAAGCUACUGUUAAAGCAUUACAGAAACUAUUUGCAAC